This 384-nucleotide long non-coding RNA is filed under the name Nicotiana benthamiana. RNAcentral describes it as "long non-coding RNA (NBEN_LNC029178)". Lineage: Eukaryota; Viridiplantae; Streptophyta; Magnoliopsida; Solanales; Solanaceae. The record is from RNAcentral.
UGCUCCUAGCUCCAUGUCACAACAAUCUUCAUCACCUUCUCUCAUGGGAGGACAAGGAUCACCACAAAUGCAAAGUGCAGCAUAUGCUCCUAACUCCAUGUCGCAACAAUCUUCAUCACCUUCUUUCAUGGGAGGACAAGGAUCAUCACAAAUGCAAGGCCAGCAGUCAGUGCCUAAUCCUAGCUGGCAACAAGCUUCACCACCUUCUUUCAUGGGAGGACAAGGAUCAUCACAAAUACAAGGCCAGCAGUCAGUGCCUAAUCCUAGCUGGCAACAAGCUUCACCACCUUUCAUGGGAGGACAAGGAUCAUCACAAAUGCAUGGCCAGCAGUCAGUGCCUAAUCCAAGGUGGCAACAAACUUCACCACCCUCUUUUAUUGCUGG